AGGGAUGGGGAAGGUGAAGGAAAAAGAAGAGUAAAAAUGUCCCUUCGUUUUCAGUGUUGGCUGGAUGACUGAUGGAACAGUGCCUGGGCUAGGAAACACAGGUGUCAGGAGAAGAGAAUGAGCUCUGCAAGCUAUUUGGCAUAUGAAGGUCCUGACCUGAGAAAACCAUCUUGGAUAACCACGCAAGGAGAGGGAAAAAUGCAACACCUAGGAGAUUUCAGUAAACAGUAGAAUCAUGCCAACCUAAUCUGUGUUAAAAUGCUUGGAAUGUGGGAGCCGCCGAUGAUGCCUGUUGUCUGUGUGUCUGACUGAAUCCUUUCUUUUCUCAGAGCAGCAAAGCCAAGCCUGGGAACCAGGCCAAAUGCCUGCCACUUACCUUAAAUUGAUCAGCCACUUUGAGAUUAAAACCCCUGAAAGCUGCCACACCGUGAAAACAAGGCCUCCUUCACAUUAAAGGCAAAUGGCGACUUUGGGUUUGCUGUGAUCUUUUUUCCAUUUUAUCCAGUUUUUCACUGCGCACACUUUUUUUUUUCUCUUUUCCAUUUAUGCUCCAAUGUAGAAGCCAAUAGUUACAGCAUCUUGGCCAGGCAUUCAUUAAGGUUUAUAAGAACAAAAUUUAUGGUUAUUUAGGAGCCGGUACAAAGACAGACUGUUGCUGGAAAAAGUAAAAGAAAUACAGGUGGGAAAUAUAAGUCUCAACAAAGGCCCAUACUAUAGAGGAGGGUGCUGGGCGCUCAGAUCUUGGAGGAGAAUUAGACUGUAUUUUAAACCAGCUUCUCCUCUGUUCUGAGUCGUC
Long non-coding RNA from Mustela putorius furo (domestic ferret), 796 nucleotides. The record is from Ensembl. Lineage: Eukaryota; Metazoa; Chordata; Mammalia; Carnivora; Mustelidae.